CAACGAUGGUGGUUGUUUCUUUUGCAACAUGAAAGGACACGUGAAGAAGGAAUGUGCUAAGUACAUUGCAUGGCGAGCAAAGAAAGGGUUGCCUGAGUUACCGAAAGCCAAGUGAUGCUGAAAGAAGCAUUUAUGUGGGAGACGGCAAGUCGGUGAAUGUGGAAGCAAUAGGGCAUUUUAGGUUGUUGUUAAGUACUGGUUACUAUUUGGACUUAAUAGAUACUUUUGUUGUACCGUCAUUUAGGCGGAAUUUGGUUUCUGUUUCUUGUUUGGACAAAUUAGGUUAUUGUUGUUCAUUUGGAAACAACUGCUUUAGUUUAUCUAUUAAUUCAAAUACUGUUGGAACUGGUUCUCUUA
Long non-coding RNA from Humulus lupulus (European hop), 357 nucleotides. RefSeq lists it as uncharacterized. The transcript has 2 exons. NCBI's taxonomy places the organism in Eukaryota, Viridiplantae, Streptophyta, Magnoliopsida, Rosales, Cannabaceae. The record is from RefSeq and is a predicted model, not a curated record.